Molecule: ribosomal RNA, 257 nt
Filed under: uncultured bacterium
Lineage: Bacteria
Description: partial 16S ribosomal RNA
Rfam family: Bacterial small subunit ribosomal RNA
Source: RNAcentral
GUCCACGCCUAACGAUGUCAACUGGUUGUUGGGAAUUCACUUUCUCAGUAACGAAGCUAACGCGUGAAGUUGACCGCCUGGGGAGUACGGCCGCAAGGUUAAACUCAAGGAAUUGACGGGACCCGCACAAGCGGUGGAUGAUGUGGUUUAAUUCGAUGCAACGCGAAACCUUACCCACCUUUGACAUGUAUGGAAGAUCGCAGAGAUGCGAUUGUGCUCGAAAGAGAGCCAUAACACAGGUGCUGCAUGGCUGUCGU